GUCACGCCCGAAGUCGUUACCUCAACCCGCAAGGGAGGGAGGCGCCUAAGGCAGGGCUGGUGACUGGGGUGAAGUCGUAAACAAGGUAGCMGUACCGGAAGGUGCGGUUGGAUCACCUCCUUAUAGGGAGACCUAUUUACUCUUAGACUGAACCAACACAGAAUUAGGUCAAGAGUAAGUCAUCCCAAGGUCGUUCGAGGAAUAUUGGAAAGCUUUCAAACUAAGUCAGGUUCUGAAACAAGCAACAAAGGGCCAUUAGCUCAGUUGGUUAGAGCGCACGGCUGAUAACCGUGAGGUCACUGGUUCGUGUCCAGUAUGGCCCACUUGAGAAAAGGCAAAAGGAGAAAGGCAAAAGUAAAAAACACAAAUAAAAGUUUUUACUUUAAACUUUAAACUUUUUACUUGGACUCUGGGGAUAUAGCUCAGUUGGUAGAGCGCCUGCUUUGCACGCAGGAAGUCAGGAGUUCGAAUCUCCUUAUCUCCACCAAACUACGAAAGACCAACGAAAGUAAGAGUUUAGCAACUUAUCUAGUCAGGCAAAGAGUCAAAAACUAGAGAGACUGCUAAAUUCUAGCGAAGGCAAGAAUUUAGAAAGAACCUUGAGAACUGCAUAGUAAUAGUAAUAAGAAGCAAGUAGAUCCAAAGUGGAAACACAGAGGUCAAGCUACAAAGGGCUCACGGUGGAUACCUAGGCACACAGAGG
This 703-nucleotide unclassified non-coding RNA is filed under the name Pseudanabaena sp. Pamv7. RNAcentral's name for it is "partial contains 16S ribosomal RNA, 16S-23S ribosomal RNA intergenic spacer, and 23S ribosomal RNA". The stretch from base 1 to 123 matches the Rfam family "Bacterial small subunit ribosomal RNA", at positions 1414 to 1533 of the family's 1533-position model. Lineage: Bacteria; Bacillati; Cyanobacteriota; Cyanophyceae; Pseudanabaenales; Pseudanabaenaceae. The record is from RNAcentral.